GAUGAACGCUAGCGGCAGGCUUAACACAUGCAAGUCGAGGGGUAACAGAGUAGCUUGCUACUGCUGACGACCGGCGCACGGGUGCGUAACGCGUAUACAACUUGCCUUAUACAGGAGAAUAGCCCAGAGAAAUUUGGAUUAAUGCUCCAUAGUAUUAUUUUCUCGCAUGAGGAAUUAAUUAAAGCUCCGGCGGUAUAAGAUAGGUAUGCGUUAGAUUAGCUAGUUGGUAAGGUAAUGGCUUACCAAGGCAACGAUCUAUAGGGGGCCUGAGAGGGUGAUCCCCCACACUGGUACUGAGACACGGACCAGACUCCUACGGGAGGCAGCAGUGAGGAAUAUUGGUCAAUGGACGUAAGUCUGAACCAGCCAUGCCGCGUGCAGGAAGACGGCCUUAUGGGUUGUAAACUGCUUUUAUAUAGGAAGAAACUUAUCUACGUGUAGAUAACUGACGGUACUAUAAGAAUAAGGACCGGCUAACUCCG
RNAcentral lists this ribosomal RNA (482 nucleotides) under uncultured Flavobacteriales bacterium. Its description in RNAcentral is "bacterial SSU rRNA". It matches the Rfam family "Bacterial small subunit ribosomal RNA", at positions 28 to 505 of the family's 1533-position model. Lineage: Bacteria; Pseudomonadati; Bacteroidota; Flavobacteriia; Flavobacteriales. The record is from RNAcentral.